This 75-nucleotide transfer RNA is filed under the name Candidatus Coatesiibacteriota bacterium. RNAcentral's name for it is "Candidatus Coatesbacteria bacterium tRNA-Met". It matches the Rfam family "tRNA". Rfam says of the family: Transfer RNA (tRNA) molecules are approximately 80 nucleotides in length. Their secondary structure includes four short double-helical elements and three loops (D, anti-codon, and T loops). The record is from RNAcentral. Lineage: Bacteria; Candidatus Coatesiibacteriota. RNAcentral also lists the same sequence under 2 other names.
GGGCCCAUAGCUCAAUGGCAGAGCCCCCGGCUCAUAACCGGUAGGUUCCUGGUUCGAGUCCAGGUGGGCCCACCA